This 493-nucleotide ribosomal RNA is filed under the name Dichaetophora sp. TW8. Its description in RNAcentral is "partial 28S ribosomal RNA". It matches the Rfam family "Eukaryotic large subunit ribosomal RNA", at positions 1508 to 1897 of the family's 3401-position model. Lineage: Eukaryota; Metazoa; Arthropoda; Insecta; Diptera; Drosophilidae. The record is from RNAcentral.
UUCGUGUGAACAGUGGUUGAUCACGAGUUAGUCGGUCCUAAGUUCAAGGCGAAAGCCGAAAAUUUUCAAGUAAUAUUAUUUAUUUAAUCAUGAUAAUUUAUAUAUAAUAUAUAUAUAUUUUUUGACUAUAUUUUUAUUAAACACUUGAAUAAUUUUGAACGAAAGGGAAUACGGUUCCAAUUCCGUAACCUGUUGAGUAUCCGUUUGUUAUUAAAUAUGGGCCUCGUGCUCAUCCUGGUAACAGGAACGACCAUAAAGAAGCCGUCGAGAGAUAUCGGAAGAGUUUUCUUUUCUGUUUUAUAGCCGUACUACCAUGGAAGUCUUUCGCAGAGAGAUAUGGUAGAUGGGCUAGAAGAGCAUGACAUAUACUGUUGUGUCGAUAUUUUCUCCUCGGACCUUGAAAAUUUAUGGUGGGGAUACGCAAACUUCUCAACAGGCCGUACCAAUAUCCGCAGCUGGUCUCCAAGGUGAAGAGUCUCUAGUCGAUAGAAUA